AUCAUUCAUUGGUGGAAGAGUCAC
This 24-nucleotide non-coding RNA is filed under the name Arabidopsis thaliana (thale cress). The record is from RNAcentral. Lineage: Eukaryota; Viridiplantae; Streptophyta; Magnoliopsida; Brassicales; Brassicaceae.